Molecule: ribosomal RNA, 211 nt
Filed under: uncultured bacterium
Lineage: Bacteria
Description: partial 16S ribosomal RNA
Rfam family: Bacterial small subunit ribosomal RNA
Source: RNAcentral
UGCGUAGGCGGCGCGGUAAGUCGGGUGUGAAAUCUCGGAGCUUAACUCCGAAACUGCAUUCGAUACUGCCGUGCUUGAGGACUGGAGAGGAGACUGGAAUUUACGGUGUAGCGGUGAAAUGCGUAGAUAUCGUAAGGAAGACCAGUGGCGAAGGCGGGUCUCUGGACAGUUCCUGACGCUGAGGCACGAAGGCGAGGGGAGACGAAACGGG